AUUUUUACCACACCUGUCCACUAGGUGGCCUCAGCCAAUCACCUGAGAGCCUUUGUGAGCAGCAUGUGACUGCAGCUUCCUUCCUGCCUCUGAAGCUGUGUUGUUACCUUGUUGCUUAUUUGUUGCAAAAAAUAAAAAGAAUGUUUGCUCUUAUCCCGGCUAACCAAGACACCCUGUUCGCACUGUGCAGCCCCUUCACUGACAGGCUGCUGCACGCGCGGUGUCUCACGGAGAGAUACCGCAGGUCCUUCCUUCCUGCAGCGGUCAGACUGUACAACCAUCAUGGCCCCCGGUACUGAAGUCCAGCUCUCCUGAGUCCUCUUUUCCAUCUGCGCUACUGCAGAAACAUCAGCCAACAGCAGCAGAACAUCAUCAACAGCAGGCAACAACAUCAGAGUUAAUACAGUCCUUCUUAAAUAAAAGUAAUACAUAUUUUUAGGCUUUGAUAUGA
Long non-coding RNA from Eleginops maclovinus (Patagonian blennie), 451 nucleotides. RefSeq lists it as uncharacterized. NCBI's taxonomy places the organism in Eukaryota, Metazoa, Chordata, Actinopteri, Perciformes, Eleginopidae. The record is from RefSeq and is a predicted model, not a curated record. The transcript has 3 exons.